This 253-nucleotide ribosomal RNA is filed under the name uncultured bacterium. Its description in RNAcentral is "partial 16S ribosomal RNA". It matches the Rfam family "Bacterial small subunit ribosomal RNA", at positions 524 to 776 of the family's 1533-position model. The record is from RNAcentral.
UACGGAGGGUGCAAGCGUUGUUCGGAAUUAUUGGGCGUAAAGCGCGUGUAGGCGGUCAUGUAAGUCAGAUGUGAAAUCCUUCCGCUUAACGGGAGAAGUGCAUUUGAAACUGCGUGACUAGAGUACGGGAGAGGAGAGUGGAAUUCCCGGUGUAGAGGUGAAAUUCGUAGAUAUCGGGAGGAACACCAGUGGCGAAGGCGGCUCUCUGGAUCGAUACUGACGCUGAGACGCGAAAGCGUGGGGAGCAAACAGG